RNAcentral lists this ribosomal RNA (253 nucleotides) under uncultured bacterium. RNAcentral describes it as "partial 16S ribosomal RNA". It matches the Rfam family "Bacterial small subunit ribosomal RNA", at positions 524 to 776 of the family's 1533-position model. The record is from RNAcentral.
UACGUAGGGGGCAAGCGUUGUCCGGAAUUAUUGGGCGUAAAGAGCGUGUAGGCGGUCCGGUAAGUCAGCUGUGAAAGUCAAGGGCUCAACCCUUGAAAGCCGGUUGAUACUGUCGGGCUAGAGUCCGGAAGAGGCGAGUGGAAUUCCCGGUGUAGCGGUGAAAUGCGCAGAUAUCGGGAGGAACACCGAUGGCGAAGGCAGCACUCUGGGCCGGUACUGACGCUGAGGAGCGAAAGCGUGGGGAGCGAACAGG